UUUGAGCUGUGGCUGCGGAUUUUAUCCUGUUUAUUUGCGGGAAGGGCCAUAGCCUCAACCCCAAGCGAAAGACUCGGGGAAGAAGAAAAGGAUCUUAUGGGCUCGACAUUCGCUGUGGCUCGUGGUGUUAUCUUCAGCUGGUUUUACUCCUCUGGCCACUCUUCCUCGUCUUCCAUUGACAAAGAGCCACCAGCAUAUCCUGACUUUGGAAGAAGGGAGGUGGUACUGAGGAGCUUUGCGGUUCCAGCAAUGGCGGCGAUAUUCAACUUCAGUGGAGCCAAACCUGGAUAUCUUGGCGUUCAAAAGAACUCUCCUUCACUUGCGCUUUGCCCAGCAACUAGUAACUGCGUGUCUACAUCAGAAGAUAUAAGCGAUUCCAAACAUUAUGCCCCUCCAUGGAAUUACAACCCGGACGAUGGGCGGAGAAAGAAAGCUGUAAGCAGAGAGGAAGCAAUGGAAGAACUUCUUCAAGUGUUGGUUUCUGAAAGGCCAGACAGAUUCACUCCUCGAGUGGUUGAGAAGAAAGAUGAUUACGUUCGAGUGGAAUAUGAGAGUCCAAUUUUUGGGUUUGUGGAUGACGUGGAGUUCUGGUUCCCACCCGGCAAAAAAUCUCUUGUAGAAUACCGCUCUGCUUCUCGCUCAGGCAACUUCGAUUUUGAUGUCAAUAGAAAACGGAUCAAGACUCUAAGAGAAGAACUGGAACAGAGAGGAUGGGCCUCUGAGAGCAGCUUCUGAUAGUUUUUGCCUCCAAGCUGAUGGUGGUUACUUGAAGUUGGAUGUCAAGAAGGGCUUACAAGAAGGGGAUAUGUUGAAGAACAUGGAUGGAGGGGAUAAGUGGAAGCAUCAAUGAAGGCAUCAAUAAAGUUGUCCAAAGAUUUGAUGACAACCAAGACAUUGAUGAACAUCAUUCACAGUCUGGCUAAAAUUUGGACGGAAAGAAUCGACAGAGCUGUGUUAACAUUGAUGUCUAUGAAAUAAUUGAAUUUAAUGACUAAAACUCUGCCUUUUAAGAUAUAUUCUUGGUCGGGCUUCUCAUGAACAUGUUUGAUGGCAAUAAGUGGGUUCUCCCCUGCAUCACUUCCUCCUCUUAUUGUGAAAGAAAUCAGAUAAGAUGGCAAAAUAAUCUUUAUCCUAUGCUAUGGCUCUUGGCUACAAUGCAAACUUGCCUUGAAAGGAACCCAAAAAGUUUUGGAUGGUUAUAUAGGAGAGGGAAUGAGGGAGGGGUUCAUCCUUCAUAGCAAGAGGUGGAGACAUGGAAAAAUUAUUAGGUGCGGAGUGUGCACUGUCCGCACAAGCACUGGGUACUUAGCGGUACCGAGUGCCGGUACCUAGCUGGGUAUAGUGCUUGCGCAGACGGUUCUCCCCGUCCGCACUCCGCACCUAAUAAUCUCUCGGAGACAUGGCUCUAUUCUCCCAUCAAACAAUGAUACAUAGAGAGAUUAGGAUAUAUUUGUGGCUUAAAUAAUGAUAAAUUAUUAAAAGCAGAUAAUAAAUGAAGUAUUGAGUAUGUAUAGGUCGGAGUACACAA
Dendrobium catenatum is the source of this 1528-nucleotide RNA transcript. RefSeq lists it as uncharacterized. The transcript has 8 exons. The record is from RefSeq and is a predicted model, not a curated record. Lineage: Eukaryota; Viridiplantae; Streptophyta; Magnoliopsida; Asparagales; Orchidaceae.